RNAcentral lists this ribosomal RNA (423 nucleotides) under Flavobacterium sp. RNAcentral's name for it is "bacterial SSU rRNA". It matches the Rfam family "Bacterial small subunit ribosomal RNA", at positions 433 to 859 of the family's 1533-position model. Lineage: Bacteria; Pseudomonadati; Bacteroidota; Flavobacteriia; Flavobacteriales; Flavobacteriaceae. The record is from RNAcentral.
CUUUUAUACGANAAAAAACACUCCUUCCUGAAGGAGCUUGACGGUAUCGUAAGAAUAAGGAUCGGCUAACUCCGUGCCAGCAGCCGCGGUAAUACGGAGGAUCCGAGCGUUAUCCGGAAUCAUUGGGUUUAAAGGGUCCGUAGGCGGUUUAAUAAGUCAGUGGUGAAAGCCCAUCGCUCAACGGUGGAACGGCCAUUGAUACUGUUAAACUUGAAUUAUUAGGAAGUAACUAGAAUAUGUAGUGUAGCGGUGAAAUGCUUAGAGAUUACAUGGAAUACCAAUUGCGAAGGCAGGUUACUACUAAUGGAUUGACGCUGAUGGACGAAAGCGUGGGUAGGGAACAGGAUUAGAUACCCUGGUAGUCCACGCCGUAAACGAUGGAUACUAGCUGUUGGGAGCAAUUUCAGUGGCUAAGCGAAAGUG